GAAUUUCUGCUGCUUCGUUGACUGCGUUUGGCGUUUGUCAUCGUUGCGGCUUGGUUGGGUUUCGAUUAUUCGUUUCCCGGCGUUUACUUUGAGAAAAUUAGAGUGCUUGAAGCAGGCUUUUGCCUUGAAUACUUUAGCAUGGAAUAACGGAGUAGGACUUUGGUUCUAUUUUGUUGGUUUUAGGAGCCAGAGUAAUGGUUAAUAGGAACAGUUGGGGGCAUUCGUAUUUGACUGUCAGAGGUGAAAUUCUUAGAUUUGUCAAAGACGAACUACUGCGAAAGCAUUUGCCAAGGAUGUUUUCAUUAAUCAAGAACGAAAGUUAGGGGAUCGAAGACGAUCAGAUACCGUCGUAGUCCUAACCAUAAACGAUGCCGACUAGAGAUUG
RNAcentral lists this ribosomal RNA (385 nucleotides) under Theileria equi. RNAcentral's name for it is "SSU rRNA". It matches the Rfam family "Eukaryotic small subunit ribosomal RNA", at positions 662 to 1055 of the family's 1831-position model. The record is from RNAcentral. Lineage: Eukaryota; Apicomplexa; Aconoidasida; Piroplasmida; Theileriidae.